UCCUCAUUCUUGAGGUUUUUAGGGCCAGUAAGUGAAUUAGAGGAGAUUUCCCCCCUUCCUAAGGGGCUGCAGCGGGCUUGGCGACCACCUGGAUUUGGGGGAUGAGGCGCCAUGGAAAUUUUGUCGCCUAUUUUUGGAACUUUGGGCAUCUUCCAGCACCGGAGCUCAGCACUGAGGGGUGUGUGCUCUGUCCUCGACAGGCAGGAUUAUUGACUCCACACUGUGAGAAUUCCCCUCCUGAACACCUGCGCCAGGGCUGGUUGUGUUCUAUGUGGUCCUGCCAUCCAAGACCUUGGGAUCUAGCUGAUAUUGGGCCUUUUGGGAGCCUGGAGAAAGCACUGGAAGGUGUGGUGUGGGCAGACCGACCUGGACAAGGUUUUGGAGUGAUGUUGGAGGACACACAUUGGAGGAGCUCCAUCCCAGGGCACCUUUCCCUGGCCCCAAACUCUGCGAGGGCGAGCGCGGCUCUCCCGCGUUUCACGGAGCCCCGUUCCAUGGCGUAACACCACCACACCCUCCUGGAACAGCGCGGCAUCCUCGGGGAAAGGAGAAGUGGAUGGGGUGGGGAGCCCUUGGUGGAGCUCCACACCCAGCCCUCAGCUGCUCUGCUGGCCGUCCCCAAGCCGGGGAGCACCGGGGCGCUCACUGCGGGGCUGCUCCAUGCCUGGCUGCCGCCGGGCCCCGCAGCUGGGCCGCAGUUACAGCACAAACACCCUCAGCCAUCCCAGCUGGACGCGAAAGCAGCCGCGCGUUCCACGGGAAGCGCCGAUGCCAGAACGGGGAGGUCAAGGCUCUGCAGUGUUUUUCUGGCAAAGGAAAAACCCAGUCGGAUGGAAGGCGGUGCCUUGGGAAUCUCCGCAGCGGUGGGAUGAGCUCCGAGCACGACUGGAGAUAAUGGGGCUUGGGGAGGGGAUUGAGCCAGGGAAUAUUGGAGAGGAUCCAGUUCCCCGAGCCCAAUGGCCACCCUUCUUCGGGAUGAAGUCAUUGGAAGCAGCACAACCGCUUAUCCAAAAGGCCAACCUGCUUCCAGGAGUUUUGGGAUUGUGGUUUAAACAGGUUUUUGUGUUCCCAGCCCUCUGUGCCCACAGGUGCUGCUGGUGCUGCCUCAUUUCCCCCUCAGAGCAGCUCCAGCUCAUCAGAUUCCCUGUCUGUUUUCUUAUCCAGGGGAAGGCUUUUAGCUCUUCUUUCCUGCAGAGUGAGGUGCUCAGAACUGUCAGCACCAUAUGAUCCAUCCCUCCAGGAAUAUCCAAGGGGAUGGAGGCAAUGUGUCAGAACAUGUGGAAAAAUCCCCCAGAGCUUCCAGUUGAUGCUGGAAUUAUUAAAACCAAAAAAGCGGAGAAAGCGUUCUUGGAGCGCUGGAAAAUGCCACUGAUAAGGAUCUUUUCAGGGCUACUCAAAUUUCUCCCAUGAAAAGAUGAGCUCAAAGUACCAAGGUUUGGGUCUGGAUUUGCAGUUUUCCAGACUCUGGGGACUUGGAGCUUGGAAUAAUUUUUUGGCUUCUUGCACAGUGUAAGAGGGACCAAAGCUCCAGCAGCAGGAGGCACCUGGAAGCUGCUGGAGAUGAGCAUGGAGCUGGUCCUCUUUUCCUGGACAAGGAUGAAGCCAAUGUCCCAGUGAUGGUCACAGCCCCUGGAAUGGGCUCUGAUGAGCUUUGGAUGAGUUUUGGUUUUGCUCUGCAGAAAUCCACAGCUUUUCCUUGUCACUCCCCAGAACUGGAUCCAUUCUGAAGAGCAGCAAUACAUGGAAAAUGGAAUAUUUUGCUUAUUAAAGUCACUUGGAGAAUUGCAGUUCCGAGGUUGGCAACCAGAGCUCGGAGAGGCUGAAGGAGCUGGAGAGUUCAUUGUUCCCCUUUUCCAAGAGAAACUUCCACAUGUGCCAGCACUUUUAUUUAUAAUGCUCAAAUAAAUGGAGUCCAUUUAAAGGUAUUAUUGAGGGAGCAGCACUUCAAAUAUAUCAUUUUUAUGUUAUUAGACUGCUUGGAGUGAGGUGUCCUACUGCAGGCAGAUAAUCCAUCCCCCUGCCUGGAUUCCAGGCUGGAACUUACUGGAAGCUUUGCACCACAAGAAUCUGAGUGAAGGGAUUAUUUUCAAGGGAAGAAAAGGGAGCUUGAGGAAAAUAAGGCUGGAAGGCAGAACCUCAAACCACGGUGGAGAAAUUUCCUGACAGCAGCUCCGCGUCUCGUGACCACCUGAUGGCUCCUGAGCUUUUUGGGGAUUUCAGCAGAUGCCCAAAGGGGAGCUCAGCUGGCUGGGAAGGAUUUGGGGUAGGCUGCACCUGGAGUUGGGGCCGGCUGUCCCCCUUCCUUCAUUCCAUCCAUUCUUUUUUUGUUGGAACAAGGGAAAUCCGGAAGGAAUCCAGACGUUCUGAGAACAUCAAAUGAUGGCGGUGACCUUUGCAGGCUGUUCCUGGUGUCCUGUGCUGGGAUCUGUGGUGUGAGGGAAUGCUGCUGCUGGGACAGGAAAGGUGGUGCAAGCAGCCAGAUAUUCCAAGGAAAGGAGAGAGGGAAGAUGGACUCGCACAGGAGCACCAAGCCCAAAGAGGAUCUCGUGUCAGAGCAGGAUCCUGUGUCCAGCUGAAUUCCCUGCAGCCAGGAAUUCCCAGGAG
Long non-coding RNA from Zonotrichia leucophrys gambelii, 2604 nucleotides. RefSeq lists it as uncharacterized. The transcript has 3 exons. Lineage: Eukaryota; Metazoa; Chordata; Aves; Passeriformes; Passerellidae. The record is from RefSeq and is a predicted model, not a curated record.